GGAAGGCGCCAUUUGAAAAGCCCAAAUCCCAAGUGGAAAAUGUUGAUGGGGUGAGGCGGAGAUGAGGCGCGCCUGCGGCUAACGUUGGGCGCCUCCAACCCCACCAUUAUAAAGCUGAGGAACCCAAACUGCAAACAUCCGGUUCGUACACCUGCACUGUCACUCAGGCGAUAGGAAAAACUGGAAGCCUCCUCCGGAUUGGUCGAUUUCUGCAAGCUCUCCAGUCAAUCAGAGUAGACUGUACCGCAGUCCUUCCCAUUCUCUGGCCCCAGGGAACCAUGUUAGGUAGAAAGAUGCAAACCUUGCCACUUUCCUGAGACCACAAACACAAUAACAUAUCCUGCUUUCCUCUGCCGCUGCCAUCUGCGCCUGACAUGUUAAUUCAAUUAAUAAAAAUGCGCUUUUUUUCCCUCCACAAAACGAGUCGUUUCGUUAGUAUAAUGUGAAAUCUGCGUCUAGGCGGUGACGCGCGAAGGAGGGGAAGAGGUGCCCCGUUCAGCCCUCAACCCUCUACACUAGCAAAGACUUACUGUUGACUCCGACUACCCAGGAGGCCCUCCUCCCGCGUCUCCCGCAGCGUGCGCGGAUUUUGAGUGGCUUUUGGCCCCUCGCGGCCCCUGUAGCGUCCCUAGUUACCGGGCCCCUAGUAACCACCUCCCUAGCAAGUAGCUGUCGGGCGCCAGAGGCCGCGCCGGCAUCCCCGUCCCGGGCCAGCGCUGGCGCUCAGGCCUCGGCGGCGCGAUAAUGGCCGCCUUGCACCGAGCGGCAAAGCUGUCGAACCUCCAUCUCCCAAUCCCGGUCAAUCCCAACACCGGAGUGCGGGUCGCCCAGUACGAACGCAAAGACCCCUCAGAGUCCCUGUCGGCGGCGGCGGCGGCCUUGGAGGAGGAGGAAGAAGAAGAGGAAGAGGAAAAGAAGAAGGCGGCUCGGCCGGCGCGGGCGCCGGCUGAUUUUAACACCAACGUUCCUGGGGUGGACGAACAAAAAUGUAUAUCCCAUGAGGAUUUUGUGGACUUUUCUGAUAUUUAUCACUCUAAUGAAGAGUAUUUCAAGAAACUAGAAGAACUCAAGGCUGCUUACUUGGAAACUAUGGCAAAGUUAGAGAAAAUGUACCAGAAUAAACUACAUUUAAAGGAAGUUCAGCCAGCAAUCAUCAGGGAAGAAGCUUCUAGUGUCUCUUCUGGGUCCGUAUCAGAAAGGAACUCCUAUUGCCCUGUCUCGUUAAUGACAUCAAUUUCAGAGCCUGAUUUAGGUCAGUCUUCCUCCUUGAUUGUGUCUUCCUCUGAAGAUGAGUUGCCCUGCUUAGAGAAAGAGUAUCCGGAGAAAAGCAGAAUGAUGACCUACGCUAAGGAGCUCAUCAACAACAUGUGGACAAACUUCUCUGUUGAAGAUUAUAUUCGAUAUGAAGAUGCUGACUUGCCAGUGUGUGAAAAAACAAAGAAGAAACCAAAAGAAUGGGUGCCAAGGCUUACAGUGCCUGAGCCUUUUCAAAUGAUGAUUAGAGAGCAGAAGAAAAAAGAAGAGAACAUGAAAUCUAAAUCAGAGGCUGAAAUGGUACGCAAACUGCUCAAAAAACAAGAAGAAGAAUCAGAAUGUAAGAAAAAAUUCCGAGCCAAUCCAGUUCCCGCGUUUGUUUUCUUCCCCCUUUAUCACGAUAUAGUCAAGCAAAAUGAAGAACGGAGGAGGUCUAUGAAGGAGAAAAACAAAGAAGCUCUUCUGGCCUCGCAAAAGCCAUUUAAGUUCAUUGCAAGGGAGGAACAGAAGCAAGCAAUUCGGAAAAAGCAGCUGAAAGACUUUUUUAAGUCUGAAAAGAAAACAAAUCGAUUUAAAGCUAGACCUAUACCUCGAUCUACUUAUGGUUCAACUAUCACGGACAGGUUAGCGGAAGAAGAGCUCUAUAGAAACAUUAGGACUCAGCAAAGAGCCCAAGAGCUUUUACAGAAUUCAUCCCCUCUGCCUUAUAGACCAGCUCGUAGAAGUCUUGCUUCAAGGAAGCCCAAGUGUCCUGAACAGGCUGAAAAGUCAAAGUAUAAACACAAGUUUAAGGGCCAGACUGUUGAUUCUGAAAACCUUCCUGAAAGAUAUCAGAAACACCACUCAGAACAGAAGUGUCCAAAGCUCCUAACAGUCUGUGAACCAUCUGACCUUCACACCACCUCACAUGCAUCCACUGAAAGAGAGAAAAUUUUGGCAGACAUUGAAGCAGAUGAAGAAAAUUUGAAAGAAACACAUUGGCCUUACCUGUCUCCAAGGCGCAAGUCACCAGUAGAAAGUGCAGGUGCGAAGCCUGCACCUUAUAGCUGCAACCCUCCGAUGCCCACCCUGUCCUCCAGAGGAAGAGAGCUAGCCACAAGGAGAUCACUUGAGGAAAAGAAAAUGUUGGAAGAAGAGAGAAAUCGGAUCCUAACUAAGCAGAAGCAAAGAAUGAAAGAAUUGCAGAAACUCCUGACGACUCGGGCUAAGGCUUAUGACUCACAUCAGAGUUUAGCUCAGAUGUCUAAAUCCAGAGUGAAAUCUCUCAGGUAUCAGGAGAGAAUCCUGACCCUGCAGAUCAUUGAUUUUCAAACUUUUUUUUUAAUCAGUGGACCCCAAUUUAUGAACAGAUUAAGAAUAGUAUUAGUAUUUCAGUUUAUGAAUUCAAGUUACUAUCAGUUACUUAUAAUUAACAUACUCACACACACACACAUUCACUGACUUCAUGUGAGAACCAGCAUGUAUUCUCACCUCGUGGUGAGGACCAUGAUACCAUGUUGAUGAGAAGAAACAUUUCUGAUUGCGGCCAUAGUUAAUAUUUAUGAUCUUAUAUCAUCAUCUAAUCUUGUCCUUUAUAUUAUUUUUUAUUGCACAGUACAAUAUUGAGAAAAAUCUUGAUUCAGAUAAAGCUCUUUUUUAACAGCUUGCCAUAUAUCUCAGAACAUUCUUCCAUAAAUAGAUAUGUCAGAGAGCUUUGUUCUAAAGUCUGCAUGAAAUCUGAUAGCACAGAUUAACACAUUGAUGUUAAUUAACAUCAGUUAUGUGAUGUGUCAGUUAGCACAUGUGUUAAUAUUUAGUGGUAUGUGUUACACAGUGGAAUUCUGCAGUACAAAGUUUGAAAAUCAGUGUUCCAGAGGGACAUUUUUAUGUUGCAAAAAAUGUUCAUGUUUAUUUAAGUAGUAAAAUAGCUCCCCCCAAUCUGGGUAAGUAAUAUGAUUUAUUAAUUUUUAAUCUGACUUAUAAAUACUCCCAAAAUCUGUAUUUGCUUUAAAUUAUGAGUAUUCCUCUAAAAAUGUAUAUUAUGUAUCGUAAUUAUUAUAUUCCUUUAUAAUGUAUAUUAUGUAUAUAUUCCUUAUAACGUAUAUCAGUGUAAUUCACUGAUAGAGCUUGAUUUGAUGAACUUGAGCAAAAAAAUCCUUAGAAAUACACUCUUCAUCCUUAGAAAGUAAGCUGGAUAAUAAUAAUAAUGCUAAAUUGUAAUUAACCAUAAUUAUCAUUUUAUAGUAGUAUUAUUUUUUCUAAUCCAUGAAAUCUUUUGCUCUUGGUAGAGUUAGUAUGAUUUACUUAGAGAAAAUAGCAUAAAUUUUUCGUUGAAGUAUAACUGAUUUACAAUGUUGUGUUAAUCUCUGGUGUACAGCAUAGUGAUUCAGUUACAUUUAUAUGCAUAUAUAUGUAUUCUUUUUCAUGUUCUUUUCCAUUAUGGUUUAUUACAUGAUGAGAAAAUAGCAUAAUUUAAUUCAUUAUAGGACCUUGUUCAAAGUAAGUAUAUUUCCUGUGAAUUUAUAUAUUUUGGUUCUUGUUCCUCUGUGUGUUGUAUUCCCAUACUCCCCAUUUCUCCCCUGACCUGCUCCAUUAACUUUGCUACCAAGCUCUAGGAGGUCUCACUUAGGGGAAAAAAGAAGAGCAAAGUCUUGUUUUCAGAAGAAAUUCCUUAAAGAGAAGAUACUUGAUUUGGACCAAAUUUUCUUGGUUUUACAUACUUAUAAAUGAGAUAAGAGGGCAUUCAUCGAUCUCUUCUGGCCGGUUUGAAGCCCUUAGUAAGUUACAUUUUGAAGAUUUCAGAAACCUCAAAGUUUCCUUUGAGAAAUUGUUCCUGGGAUGUAAAACAUGUGGUCUCAGAACCUUAGGAUUUUUUUCUGCAUUCCAUAAGAAUUUACCAGUCUAGAAAAUAUAUUCUGGUAAACUGUAAACUCUGCUCAUAAUUUCAUUUCUGGUUUGUCAUCUAAGCUAAAUGUUGUGUUGCAAGUUCUUAUUUCUUUUUAAAAUUCCAUUCCCUUUAUUUGAUUUUAGAAAGAGUGAAAAGGAAAGGAUGAGAAAAUACCGACAAGAACUAGAAGAAAGAGAAGAAAAAUUAAAAAGCAGGCCGCUGCUAUUUGAAAGAGUUGCUCAGAUAUCCUUCAACAAUCACA
Molecule: non-coding RNA, 4382 nt
Organism: Vicugna pacos (alpaca)
Lineage: Eukaryota; Metazoa; Chordata; Mammalia; Artiodactyla; Camelidae
Source: RefSeq, a predicted model, not a curated record